This is a long non-coding RNA of Tachysurus vachellii, 585 nucleotides long. RefSeq lists it as uncharacterized. The transcript is spliced from 3 exons. NCBI's taxonomy places the organism in Eukaryota, Metazoa, Chordata, Actinopteri, Siluriformes, Bagridae. The record is from RefSeq and is a predicted model, not a curated record.
AUGUUCAACACAAGUCAAGGUCUAUGUAUUUUAUGUGCGAAUACCAUUUUUGACAGUGAAAUCUUUACCGUCGGCUCCAGAGACACAUCCAGACUUGAUGUCCCUCAGGGUUUAACUAGACAAGGACUGACAACUUCACGCAGGAAAAAUGAAAUGGUGUCUAUCUGCUGUUUAAACAACCAUACAUCACAUCAUGACAGUUAUUUAUUACCACAGUCUACAGAGGAGAAGAUGAGAUUUGUAUUUCCCCAUAAAUGGAUGCGGUGGAUCAGGAGUGUAAUCAGGAGCUGGAUUUCUUAGCAUGAGGUGUGAACACAGACAAGAAGGGACACCACGGCGUAGUCUGUCGUCCUGCUGCCAUGUUUAUUGGAGUAGAAGAACAUGCAGAACUGCACACUGUCAGUAAACUGAGCUCAGGAUCAGAUUUGAAGCUGUAGAGCUGUAACAAAGUAACACCAACACUGUGAAAAUCUGUAUUUUAAAAUAUAUAUUCUUAAUAUAAAUAACACUUUAAUUUAAAAUGAUUUCUCUGUUUUGAAAAGCCACUUCAUCAGAUCACAGUCAAUGAAAACUGGAAGGUCAAGA